GACGAACGCUGGCGGCGUGCUUAACACAUGCAAGUCGAACGGAAAGGCCCUGCUUUUGUGGGGUGCUCGAGUGGCGAACGGGUGAGUAACACGUGAGUAACCUGCCCUUGACUUUGGGAUAACUUCAGGAAACUGGGGCUAAUACCGGAUAGGAGCUCCUGCUGCAUGGUGGGGGUUGGAAAGUUUCGGCGGUUGGGGAUGGACUCGCGGCUUAUCAGCUUGUUGGUGGGGUAGUGGCUUACCAAGGCUUUGACGGGUAGCCGGCAUGAGAGGGUGACCGGCCACAUUGGGACUAAGAUACGGACCAGACUCCUACGGGAGGCAGCAGUGGGGAAUAUUGCACAAUGGGCGGAAGCCUGAUGCAGCAACGCCGCGUGCGGGAUGACGGCCUUCGGGUUGUAAACCGCUUUCGCCUGUGACGAAGCGUGAGUGACGGUAAUGGGUAAAGAAGCACCGGCUAACUACGUG
Molecule: ribosomal RNA, 468 nt
Filed under: uncultured bacterium
Lineage: Bacteria
Description: partial 16S ribosomal RNA
Rfam family: Bacterial small subunit ribosomal RNA
Source: RNAcentral